Long non-coding RNA from Tigriopus californicus, 372 nucleotides. RefSeq lists it as uncharacterized. The record is from RefSeq and is a predicted model, not a curated record. Lineage: Eukaryota; Metazoa; Arthropoda; Copepoda; Harpacticoida; Harpacticidae. The transcript is spliced from 3 exons.
GUUCAAAAAGACCGAAUCGAUCAGUCUGCGGUCGGUUGGGAUCAUGUGGAGAACGUGGAGAAGCAUCAGUCUCAAAAAGACUACAAAACUGGAUUCGGUGGCGAGUUUGGGGUUCAGAGUGACCGUGUGGAUAAGUCCGCUUUGGGAUGGGAGCAUGUGGAAAAAGUGUCGAAGCACGAGUCGCAAAAAGAUUACAAAUCUGGCUUUGGCGGAGAUCAUGGCGUCCAAAAUGACCGAAUGGAUCCGAGUGCUUUAGGGUGGGAUUUCUAUGAAACCCCUGAACGUCACGCUUCACAGUUAGGUGUAUAUGAGUGAAUCAAAAGCAUGCGAGCAAAGACCAUUAACUGUGCAUUUUGAAUUUUGGUUUCAAUU